CAGUUUUUCCUUUCAUCUUAAAGCCCAACACUCACAUAGCUUGCUGCAUAAUCUACCCAUCGCUAUGUAAGAGGACCGUCCUGGUUAUCAUUCAUCAGAAUGACCGUCCAAGGCACAGAACAUCCAACAUUAGCUAUGAAUUGAAUUGCUGCAAGAGAGGUAAGGGUGCGCUCUAAUUUAGUACCCACAGGCCACAACUGUCUUAAUUGCUAAAGACAUGCUUAUUUCAGCCAUGGUCAUCAUCAUCGGCCCUGGUAAGAACUCCAUCUGUUCAUCACACAGUAGCAUCCAUCCAUCCAUCAGACUGGCCAUAGUGGUGAGUAACUUAGACAGUCUCGGGAGCUGCUCAAACCUGGUGUCAGCCGACCAAACCUCGUCACAGACAGACACAUCAGAACAGAACUCUACGGUUCCCAGCCCACGCCACAACCAAAUCCAAGGCAAUGGAAUGGCAGGCUGGCAGCACC
RNAcentral lists this long non-coding RNA (467 nucleotides) under Hordeum vulgare. RNAcentral describes it as "long non-coding RNA (HVUL_LNC019419)". The record is from RNAcentral. Lineage: Eukaryota; Viridiplantae; Streptophyta; Magnoliopsida; Poales; Poaceae.